This 256-nucleotide ribosomal RNA is filed under the name uncultured bacterium. Its description in RNAcentral is "partial 16S ribosomal RNA". It matches the Rfam family "Bacterial small subunit ribosomal RNA", at positions 524 to 776 of the family's 1533-position model. The record is from RNAcentral.
CACGUAGGGGGCAAGCGUUGGUCCGGAUUUAUUGGGCGUAAAGAGCUCGUAGGCUGUUCGAUAAGUCGGGUGUGAAACCUCCAGGCUCAACCUGGAGACGCCACCCGAUACUGUCAUGACUAGAGUCCGGUAGGGGAGCGUGGAAUUCCUGGUGUAGCGGUGAAAUGCGCAGAUAUCAGGAGGAACACCAGCGGCGAAGGCGGCGCUCUGGGCCGGUGACUGACGCUGAGGAGCGAAAGCGUGGGUAGCAAACAGG